RNAcentral lists this ribosomal RNA (585 nucleotides) under uncultured bacterium. RNAcentral's name for it is "partial 16S ribosomal RNA". It matches the Rfam family "Bacterial small subunit ribosomal RNA", at positions 355 to 1375 of the family's 1533-position model. The record is from RNAcentral.
UGGGGAAUUUUGGACAAUGGGCGAAAGCCUGAUCCAGCAAUGCCGCGUGUGUGAAGAAGGCCUUCGGGUUGUAAAGCACUUUUGUCCGGAAAGAAAUCCUUGGCUCUAAUACAGUCGGGGGAUGACGGUACCGGAAGAAUAAGCACCGGCUAACUACGUGCCAGCAGCCGCGGUAAUACGUAGGGUGCAAGCGUUAAUCGGAAUUACUGGGCGUAAAGCGUGCGCAGGCGGUUUGCUAAGACCGAUGUGAAAUCCCCGGGCUCAACCUGGGAACUGCAUUGGUGACUGGCAGGCUAGAGUAUGGCAGAGGGGGGUAGAAUUCCACGUGUAGCAGUGAAAUGCGUAGAGAUGUGGAGGAAUACCGAUGGCGAAGGCAGCCCCCUGGGCCAAUACUGACGCUCAUGCACGAAAGCGUGGGGAGCAAACAGGAUUAGAUACCCUGGUAGUCCACGCCCUAAACGACGUCAACUAGUUGUUGGGGAUUCAUUUCCUUAGUAACGUAGCUAACGCGUGAAGUUGACCGCCUGGGGAGUACGGUCGCAAGAUUAAAACUCAAAGGAAUUGACGGGGUCAUAGCUGUUUCCU